ACUUAAAUUGAAGAGUUUGAUCAUGGCUCAGAUUGAACGCUGGCGGCAGGCCUAACACAUGCAAGUCGAGCGGCAGCGGGAAAGUAGCUUGCUACUUUUGCCGGCGAGCGGCGGACGGGUGAGUAAUGCCUGGGGAUCUGCCCAGUCGAGGGGGAUAACAGUUGGAAACGACUGC
Molecule: ribosomal RNA, 175 nt
Filed under: Aeromonas salmonicida subsp. smithia
Lineage: Bacteria; Pseudomonadati; Pseudomonadota; Gammaproteobacteria; Aeromonadales; Aeromonadaceae
Description: partial 16S ribosomal RNA
Rfam family: Bacterial small subunit ribosomal RNA
Source: RNAcentral